This is a long non-coding RNA of Mya arenaria, 2666 nucleotides long. RefSeq lists it as uncharacterized. NCBI's taxonomy places the organism in Eukaryota, Metazoa, Mollusca, Bivalvia, Myida, Myidae. The transcript is spliced from 3 exons. The record is from RefSeq and is a predicted model, not a curated record.
UUCUUUUGCAUGAACAUUGGUCAAAUAUUUUAUAAUUUGAAUAAAUAUUAUAAGACAUUUGCAAUUGUUUUUAUUUUGGAUAUUGUGAUUGGUUUUAAUGAAAUAAACAGGCCGGGUUCUUUAAGGAUCUGGUCACUUUCGGUUUUAAAAAAUGUAAAUAAACUAUUGGAGAAUUGGCAGUUAUUUUUUAUUAAGCCAUUCUAUAUUAUUAAUUAAGAAUCUGUCAACCUGAAGUUUGUUAUUGUUUAUGCGCAUGUUUCUGCCACGGGCAUUGCCCGACAAAUUCAUAUUAAAUAACUUAAAAGAGCUCGACAACCAAAACCCAAUUAAUCAAAUUACAACGCCAAGUUUCCAUUUAGUGUUUUAUUGGUUAAUAAGAAAAAUGAAGGCUGGCUUAUAUAUAGGCAUUUCACAAUUGAAACUAUGAAAGUAGGCAUUUUUUUAAUCUUCUAAACAGUUAAUUGGAUGCCUACCAAUUUUAAUUGUUUAUAGAUCAUACAUUAUCACCAAGUAACUAAUACUUAAAUAACAAUUGGAAAGUUUCAAAUUUCAACAUAUCAAUGUUUUAAUGUGUAAAUUUCAGGAAACAUUUUUAUGUUCUGUAUAGUUACUUGGAUUAUAAAAUCACUCUCUGUAAAAAUUAUUCAACUUUCCAAACAUUAUUAGUCUGUAGAUUUAUUGGAAUUCCUGUUAUGAUAGGAUUUCAAUUGCUGUCAUAAAUUUUCAACUCAAUGUUUUGAUUAUUCAUUUGAAAUUAUUUUAAACUUCACAUUCCAUAAAUGGCUGUUCUUCCUUUUUGACUAAAUAUUGUGAGUAUUUUUACACAUUAGUAAGUCUGCCAAUUCAUGGGUGGUCAGUUUUGUCAUUUAUUAGUCUUUUUUCCCUUUUUUAUUUAAUCUUUUCUUCCUUUCAGUGAGAAAUAAAGCCAUAGAAUACAUUCAUACCACUCAAAUUCAGCCAGUCAGAAUGAUGGGAAGGAUUGCAGAACUGAGUUUCACUCUCACCUGACUGAUGCAGAUUCAGUAACCUAAUUGCUCAUGAUGGUUUCUGAGAAAAAAACAGCUUGGUGUAAUUUGACAGUAUUUUUCAGUAUUUGACAGUGGUUCUAUCAUGCAACAGUCAUACCAUGAAGUGUCUCACAGAUUCUCUCUCAAUUCCUGCAAUAUCCAAGAUUGCAGUGUAGUGCAAAGAGGAUUAAUUUUCUUGCAAUAAGAAGUAUCUGCACUUCCAAAUACCCCUGUACAGCAUGAACAGUUUCUUCAUUUUUUGAGUGAUUAUAGAGUGAAAAUGUUUCCAUAUAAAAUGUUUUCUUUUUAUGUGUAAAACUUGUUAUGAAUGGUUACAAAUACAUGCAUGGACAUUAUGAUUCCAAAUCUAUGCACAUUUUGAUUCCAAUAAUUAACCACAAAAGUAUUUUAAAUUUGGUUUGAAACAGAAAUAUUGUCCUUAUGUUUGUUUCUAAACAUUAUCUGGUAUUAUUCGUGUUUAUAGUUUCCAUGUCAAUUUAAAAAAAAGUCAGUUCUUUGAAAGAUGCACUCUUACUCCCACAUAAGAUUUACCACAAUUAAUACUUUUGUUUUAUUAUUCCAAAAAGGAUGAAUAAAUGUUGAAAACAAUGGUUCUAAUGAAGGAUGCCUACUUCUACUUGAAGGAAAUGUGCAUAAAAGACAGUAUUUCUACCAUUUGAGAUCAUAGUAGAUCACAAUAAAUCUUUAUGCAUUCACCAAUCAUUUAAUAUCUUUGCUUUUUCAGCUUAAAUACACGGUUACAAUAUUUUUAUCAAUACUUAAUAUUUUCCAAAAAUGAAUUAUGAAGUAAGUUGUUAAAGGGUUAACAGUCAAAGUAUAUGUUUGUUAUACAUGUGUAUGCAUUGAUACUGAAUAAGAGUGUCACUUUAAACAGUUGCCAUGGUAACUAUAGAGUCUAGUUUUCUUAAGAAACUGUAAUUGUUGUCUAAAAACCUUUGUAUUUUCAAUGUGAUACUUUUUAGCAUGUCCGCUUCAGUCAAUGAAAUAUUUCUGUUAUUUGUUAAUCAUUUGGUCAUACUUUGUAUACAAUUAUAUUUAUAAUUUAACCUUGAAAAUUGCUGACAAUCUCAUACUUAUAUUGAAAUAUUCAGAAUUGCUAGAUGGGUUGAAGUUCACCUUUAUUACAACUGUCAGGCAAAUCAUGGCAAGAUGUACAUAAUUCUCCUUUUUAACAAAAAGCGAUGUUUAAAGCAUUUUUGUAUUUUUAUUGAAUGGUUACCAUGGCAACUAAUUUUUUGUUUGCCUUUAAUCUUCCUAUUUAUAAUACUAUUAAUUGUAAAAAUGCAACAGUCAAGCAGUGAAUGGAAGAAUGUAAAUGUUCUUUGUCUUUUACCUUUUUCAAGCUCAUUCUUCAAAAUAUAAAGCAAUUUUAAAAUUUCUUAAAAAUGGACGUUUUUUCAUCAUUUUUUUAAAGUAAAAUAAUUUGCUUAAAACUUUGUUUAGGUUCUGAUAUUUAGGAAUGUGUAAUAAAUUUAUAGAAAAUAAACAAAAUGUGUUGUUUGGCAUUAUUUAUUUCAUUUAAAUUCCGAAGUUUUGAAUUUGACCUAUUUUGGCAGAAAAAUUGAUAAAAAUGUAAAAUUAAAAGGGCCAUAAUUCUGUCAAAAAUUGAUGGAUUUUGAAAAAAUGUGCAUAUUUGAG